Molecule: long non-coding RNA, 760 nt
Filed under: Marmota monax (woodchuck)
Lineage: Eukaryota; Metazoa; Chordata; Mammalia; Rodentia; Sciuridae
Source: RNAcentral
AAUUAAGUCACCUUGAACAUGUGAGGUAUCAAGAAAUUUCCUCCUGUAUCCUUUCUUAGCUUCUGAGGGAUAUACCCACAAAAAAUGAAGAAGUUAAAUAUUUAGAAGUUUUUAUAGGGUAUAAGCUGAGAAAGAAGAAGAUACAUUAUGUUGGAAAUGGGAGAAGUGAAAUGAAUUCCCACUGUGAGUGGUCAAGUAGAAGCCCAAGAGAACGGAACAUGAACAGCCAAGGUGAAUAUAAGAAGAGAGCUUUCCAGGAGAGACAGCCCAAGGUGCUUGGGGCGGGGGGCAACUGAUAGAUUGUCAUGUGUGUUUUUUGCCCCAUGAAUGAUACAUUAUAGAAAGAUGUGAAAAAAGUAAUUUAUAUACUCCAAUAAAACAUAUACAAGAAAGGAAAUGGGAUAAUAGGACUGUACUUAACAAUAACCCUAAUGUAAAUACUUAAUGAAAAUUAUUUGACUAUCUUAGGAGGAUGAACAAAGGAGAAGCCUGCAUAGCAUAACAAUCUCAGCAAGCUCAAUAAAACGUCUAAAAUGGAAAAUUCAAGAAAUAGAACAAACAUGUCCUUUAGAUGCAUGGCAAUAAAUACCAGGAGAAAAGGCUAAAAGAGCUGAGAAAAGUAUUUUUCUAUGAAUCAGGCAUUGGGAAGAGAAGGACAGGGCAAGGGACUAUUUUUCUUAGAAGCUCUUGAGCCUUACUAGGUCAGUAAAUGCACUCCUCCUUCCUUGAGUUCUCUUCCAAUAUUGAAAUUGAUAGGAAG